AUUGAACGCUGGCGGCAUGCCUAACACAUGCAAGUCGAGCGAGUGGCGGACGGGUGAGUAAUGUAUGGGGAUCUGCCCGAUCGAGGGGGAUAACUACUGGCAACCGUGGCCAAUUACGCAUUCUAUCGUAUUAACCCAUAUGGGAUUCGCUAGUGGGUGGGGUAAAGGCUCACCUAGGCGUAGAUCCCUAGCUGGUCUGGGAGGCUGACCGGCCAAACGGGACAUGGGAAACGGCCCAGACUCCUACGGGAGGAAGCAGUGGGAAAUAUUGCAAAAUGGGCGCAAGCCGGAUGAAGCCAUGCCGCGUGUAUGAAGAAGGCUUUAGGGUGGUAAAGUACUUUCAGCGGGGAGGCGUUACCCGCAGAAGAAGCACCGGCUAACUCCGUGCCAGCAGCCGCGGUAAUAC
RNAcentral lists this ribosomal RNA (406 nucleotides) under uncultured bacterium. RNAcentral's name for it is "partial 16S ribosomal RNA". It matches the Rfam family "Bacterial small subunit ribosomal RNA", at positions 30 to 526 of the family's 1533-position model. The record is from RNAcentral.